This 517-nucleotide ribosomal RNA is filed under the name uncultured bacterium. Its description in RNAcentral is "bacterial SSU rRNA". It matches the Rfam family "Bacterial small subunit ribosomal RNA", at positions 8 to 518 of the family's 1533-position model. The record is from RNAcentral.
AGAGUUUGAUCAUGGCUCAGGAUGAACGCUAGCUACAGGCUUAACACAUGCAAGUCGAGGGGUAGCAGGAUCUAGCAAUAGAUUGCUGACGACCGGCGCACGGGUGAGUAACACGUAUCCAACCUUCCGUUUACUCGGGGAUAGCCUUUCGAAAGAAAGAUUAAUACCCGAUAGUAUGCUUUUCCCGCAUGGGAGAAUCAUUAAAGUUUUUCGGUAAUCGAUGGGGAUGCGUUCCAUUAGGCAGUUGGUGAGGUAACGGCUCACCAAACCUUCGAUGGAUAGGGGUUCUGAGAGGAAGGUCCCCCACAUUGGAACUGAGACACGGUCCAAACUCCUACGGGAGGCAGCAGUGAGGAAUAUUGGUCAAUGGACGAGAGUCUGAACCAGCCAAGUAGCCGUGAAGGAUGACCGCCCUAUGGGUUGUAAACUUCUUUUAUAUGGGAAUAAAGGAGCCUACGUGUAGGUUUUUGUAUGUACCAUACGAAUAAGGAUCGGCUAACUCCGUGCCAGCCGCUGC